GUACAAUUAUACGUAUUCAUGAAACACUAAUUUAUGCGCACUCUACAAUGGGUAAAACAAGACAAGCAUAUAGGGUACCAAGAAAAAGUAUGUGAACCCUUUAAAAAUUACUGCAUUUAUGUAUAAACGUGUCUUCAUCUAAGUUAAACUAAUCAACAAAUACAAUCUGUUUUAACUUAACAUAUAUUAUUGUAUUGUUCUUGUACAUAUUGAAUAUAUCACUCAAAUAUUCACAGUAUAGUUUGGGAAAAGAGUGUGAAAACCUAGGCUAAUGACAUCAACAAAAGCUAAUUCAGUUUUAAAUUGUCAAAUCUGGUUCCCAAUUAAAACAAGAUUGGAGGUGUGGGUUAGCGCUACUUCCAGUCUAGCCUGUAGCCGAUAGUUGGAGUGCACUCCUGCUCGAUGGGGAAUAUCCUUGUGGUGAGGGAGAAUUUAAAGUGUCCCUUUCGUCUGUAUACUUCCCGAAUGCAUCCACAAGUGUAGAACAGAUACGUGCGUAUAGAUUGCUCUCCAGCUGUAACAGCGCAUGUUCUGGAGACCAGAGUGGAUGGGUAUGGAAUGGGUGGCUGUGAUUGGUUGAGAGUGUCAGCUGACCUUUUUCAGCCAGUCCAGUGUCCAUUGCAUGUAUGAAUUGAUAUUGCUAGGUGGAAGUGUGUAAUCUAUGUCGUACUGCCAUAGCUCCAGCAAGAGACAGGUCUGUGGGUCACCAGGGACCGUUAUUUAGUGUUAAACUGCUCAAAAAUCAUUUAGCACUGCAUGGAGAGGCAACUCAAAGGAAUUAAAUGCCAAUACGAUGAGAUGACAUGGUUAUAGCAUCUACUGUGUCCCUUUAAAAUGUGUGGAGGUCUGCAAACACAUUUAUGUAACAUGCAUAGCAGAGGCGUAACUAGAAACCAUGGGGCCCCGGUGCAUAAAUUGCCCUGGGCCCGCUCCCAUACGUUUCCCAUGUCCUCCCCCCCCCACCACCCCCACUUCCUCCUAGCUCUGAUGUCAUCUCAGGGGGCCGCGGCACUGGAAAUUCAUUGCAUGGGCCACCAGAUGGACCCCUUCAAGGCCGUGGUCACAGGGGUCCGCAGGUCAGCUGCGACCCCUGCGAAGUGGUAGUUCCGCCACUGAUGCAUAGGUUUCAAAACAAAAACAACACGGGACUGCUUCCUUUAUUGCAGCCAAACAGGGAAGGAGUGCUUGCAGGUAUUGUGAAAUGUAACAUGUGGCUAAAUGUCACAAGAUGUACCUGUUCUGAGCUCAUGUGACUGGAUGUACCUUAACCCAUUGUAUGUGUUAAUUAUUCUCUCUAACCUUCCAGCAUAUACAAACUAUGAGAAAUGUCAGUGUAUUCUUCUUGGUAGAAGGCAAAGUACAGGGCCAGUGCAAGGAUUUUUGGGUACAGAGGCAAAAAUGCAUUUUGUUCACCCCCAAAAAAUCUUUUGUGUUUUGUACCCCCUCUUUUACAUGUCUUACCCCUUUAGUGUCUUAUCUUAUCCCCUAUUUGUCCCCAUUGUGUGUUUUGCACUUCCUUUGGGUAUCUCUUACAACUCCCCUUGCAUCUCUUAUCCCCCCUCUUUGUAUGACUUUUACAUCCUCCUGCAUUUUGUGUCUUACUCCCCCCCAUCCCCUUUGUGUCUUUUACUCUUCCCAACUCCUCUGUGUGUGUAUCUUUCACCCCCAGCCCAUCUGUCUCCCCCUCAGUCUGUCUGUGUGCCUCUUAUUCCCCUUCUCCAGCCACUCUGUGUGUCUCCCCACACCCCCAGGCUCUCUGUGUCUUUUUCACGCCCCAGCAACACUGUGUAUUCCGCCCCCAAGGCCUUUCUGUGUGUCUAUUUCAUCCCCAGCCCAUCUGUGUGUCAUUCUCCCCCCUCAUGUCCCUCUGUAUGUCUUUCUCCCCACUCACACCCCGCUGUGUGCCUCUUUCUCCCCCACCAGCCCCUUUGUGUGUCUCUUUCACCCCUUCCCCAUUUCUUUGUAAUCUCUUCCACGCUGCCCUUGUCCGUUAGAUGUCUCCCAUCUCUGUCCCUUAGUGGUCUCCUCUCCCCCACCAUCCGGCACCUUAUUAGUCUCUCCCUCCCCCCGUCCCUUAGUUGUCUCCCCUUAGUUGUUUCCUCUCCCUCCCUUCCCUGUCCCUUAGUGGUCCUCUCCCCUCUUUUCCCUGUUCCUUGGUGUACCCCUCCAUCCCUUCUCUGUCCCUUCGUGGUCCUCUCCCCUCCCUGUUGCUUAGUGUUUCUCUCCCCUUCUCCCUCUGUUGCUUAGUGCCCCCCCCCUUUGGUGUUCCUCUCCCCUCCUUUCCCUGUCCCUUAGUGGUCCUCUCCCCUCCCUGUUACUUGCUGUUCCUCUUCCCUCCCUUCUCUGUCCCUUAGUGCAGCUCUCCUCUCCCUACCCUGUCCCUUAGUUGUCCCCCCCGUCCCUUAAUCAACCCCUACCCCUCUUUUAGUGUUCCUCUCCCCUCCCUGUGACUUUGUGGUCCUUUACUACCCACCCCCUUAGUGUUCCUCCCCCUCCCUUCCCUGGUGUUCCACAUUACCACUUUUGUAGUGUUGCCGAGUGGAAGCGGACCGCGGUACAGGAGCUUCUGUUUUCUGUACCCGGACUAAAAUUAAGUGUUCUCUCGGUGAGCUCUUCCAGUCAGUCCGGCAGGGAACAGGAAUCAGAAGCUCCUGGCCACGCUACACUGAGUGACUGGCAGGAGGGAGUGCUGUGCGCUUCCCUCCUUCCCGGUCACUUGUAACUUGCGCCCCCAGAGCCGGUAUGUCCUAAGCCGGCCACCUGUGCCGCCUUAUGGAUGCACUUGCCCUGGCCUAAGUAUAAAUAAGUUAUGGUGAGAGAAAAACAAUAAAAACGUAGGUAAAUUAAAAUGUAUAUAUCAUGAUACUUUUCUGUGCUCAUUUGCAUGCUGAAUUGGGAAUACUGGGAAAGUUGUGGAAACUUGAUUCUUGGAAAUAUUUAGAUGACAUACAACAAAAAUCUACAUUUGGUUGAAAUGCCAUAUAGAAAAUAAAAAUAUGCGGAGGAUUGGGCAAUAUGGCCCACAUAUGGUGGUAUUGCCCAAGACUAACUUAAUACUAGAAAUCGAUACACAACUUAAUUGUUAAAGUGAACAGGAAUAUAGACAAUUUCACAUCUGAUCUAGCUCUCUUUAAAAAAUUCCCUGAAUCCAUCAGUAGAAUCGAUAGGAUUAUAGCAGGCCACAUACUGAUAGCUGCCACCACGUCUACCUAGAUAUUGGAAGUCUAAACAUACACUCUCUAUCAAGGAAGUACUGACACUAACAUUAGAAAACAAAGCAUACGAACUAUCACAUAGAAAUAACACACACAUUUUUGCACAAUUAAAAUACCACUGGUAUCAAUGGGAAACCGAUGUCAAAAAAACACAUAACCUGUAAUAACUUGUAAUGUUGUGUUAUUCAACUCAAGUGCCUUGUACUUUAACAUAUUUACUGUUAUAAUGGAUGGAUGGCUUCCCCCCCCCCCCAUCUCCCAGUUGUCACCCUUCCUUUCCCUUCCCUAAUAUAUUGUUCUUUAUUAUUUGUAAAUUCU
This 3533-nucleotide long non-coding RNA is filed under the name Pelobates cultripes (western spadefoot toad). Lineage: Eukaryota; Metazoa; Chordata; Amphibia; Anura; Pelobatidae. The record is from RNAcentral.